UCUUUUUCCUGGAGCGCGGGAAAGGCAGAUCCUGUCCCAACCUCCCGCAUCCCAAACAAAGUCAAGUAGCGUUACGGGGUCGGCCUCCUAGUCCUAGCUGGCGGGACGGCGCGAGAGGCACAUCGGAGAAGGUAGUGUCGUUGGGCGGUAUAUACUGCAGGCGUUGCGUCCCCAGGUAGGCGAGAGCCGCCCUGUGCAUGAGCCGAGCCAGUCGAGCGAAAGUGUGAUGUGCUUGGGGCCAAAAACUGGCCUGGGCGCUUGGGGGUGGUGAAACUGGUGGUGGGCUGCGAACUUGCCUGAGAAGGUGGCCAGUCUGCGAGCACUCCUCAGCAGCUAGUGUUGUAGUCGUGAUUUCCGAGGAGCAAGUUUGUGCGAAGAUGAGGACGCUUUAUUCGCGGGGCCAGCACGACUGGUAGCUGCUUGUUAUGCCAAUUACAUGGGUGCGAACAAAGUUUGCGCCCGCUUGACUAGGAGGUCCUCUUUGCGGUUGCCCUGCUCCAUCGCUACCGCCGUUACGGGCCGUUGGCAUACAUGUACAUAAUAUGGAUAGGCCGCUGCGAGGAGGCGGUGAGGCAGCCCGACAAACGCGUGAUGCGGGGGACGAUUUGAGGCGGAGAGGAGGUCUUAUAAUUGACACGGAUGUAUGUAUCUGUUGCAUAAAAGGAAGGGAUCAUAGCGUGCUUAUAUCUGCAAAAUUGUGACGACCAGGAACAUCCGAACGACAUGGACGCCAAUUUCUGGGUGGUGACAAGUACACAACUUGCCAGAGCCUACAUGAUAAUCCCUGUGUAAAUCAAGUGGUAUU
Molecule: long non-coding RNA, 805 nt
Filed under: Volvox carteri
Lineage: Eukaryota; Viridiplantae; Chlorophyta; Chlorophyceae; Chlamydomonadales; Volvocaceae
Description: long non-coding RNA (VCAR_LNC001032)
Source: RNAcentral